RNAcentral lists this ribosomal RNA (253 nucleotides) under uncultured bacterium. Its description in RNAcentral is "partial 16S ribosomal RNA". It matches the Rfam family "Bacterial small subunit ribosomal RNA", at positions 524 to 776 of the family's 1533-position model. The record is from RNAcentral.
UACGUAGGGUGCGAGCGUUAUUCGGAAUUACUGGGCGUAAAGCGUGCGCAGGCGGUUUUGUAAGACAGAUGUGAAAUCCCCGGGCUUAACCUGGGAACUGCAUUUGUGACUGCAAGACUAGAGUACGGCAGAGGGGGGUAGAAGUCCACGUGUAGCAGUGAAAUGCGUAGAUAUGUGGAGGAACACCAAUGGCGAAGGCAGCCCCCGGGGAUAACACUGACGCUCAUGUACGAAAGCGUGGGUAGCAAACAGG